AUUCAGGCUGUCCCAAUAGUUGCCAUCUAUCUCGAGACUAGUUGGAAUGUAGAAAGGCGGGGUUGAGACGGCAAAAUAGCUUUGUUUCAAAGUAAGUAUCAUACAAGGAAGUGAUGUUCAGUGGGCGGUCUCUACAUGGCGACCGUCGGUGUGUCUGUGGAGCUCAAAGUGAUGCAACGUUGACCAUGGAAGGACGAGUAUUUGUGAUAACAUGCGAGAUUAAGGUAUGAAAUGCACAGAAAUUAGAGAAAAUUUUGAGAAGUUUCAUAAGGCAGGUUCACAGACAAUGCUAUUCGUGAAAUAGUGAUGAAAUUUCAACGAACGUUGCAUGGCUUUGAACUCUGUAGAGGUACCGACGGGUCGCCGUGUGGAGACUGCUCGCUUCAUCUCCCUACUUUUGUGUGGCACUUUGAAAUAGAACUAUUUUGUUGUCUUAGACUGGUUUUCCUGUAUUUCUAUUGGUUUUCGAGAUAGAUAGUAACUUUUGGGCAUCCUAUAUAUCUGGAGAGAGAGAAACUUUAAGCGGUCAUCCUUCAGCUUCUGAAAUAUGAUAAAAAUUACUGUCGAACCUUCGAAUAUCAUAGUCUUCAUCGUGAUCUUAUCAUGACUGCUAUAGGUAAGACCAAAAUACUUUCUGAAUACGUGUUUAAACACGUAUUUAGAAAGUAUUUUGGUCGAGGAUUGGAAAAAUAGGAUCUAUAUAUGAACUGCCAAGAGUUUAUUUUGCUUAGAGAGGUAAAAGAGCCAAAUCCAGUCCAAAAUCCUAUCAUUAUUCACUUAUCAGCACGGACUAUUGGAAUACAAUACUUUGUCUAUUGUCAUUCUAUAUUGCUAUACAGCCGCUUGACAAUAGAAAUCUUUAUUUUUAUAUUAUUCGAAGUGAAUUAUAUAUCAUUCAGAAAUUCUGUUACUUGUAUGGAAAUUUUCAUUUAUUUUCUCUUUCUAGAAUUUCUAACGAAAGUUCAUUUCCUGAUUUAACUCUCUCUCCCAAGUUUUUAUUGAAAUUGAUCCGUUUUCACAAUUCUUAAAUUAAAUAAUAGUAUGUAAUUCGUUCGAAAUAUUACACUCCAUUAUAUUAUUCACGUAACUCAUUGUUUACUAUGGUAUGAUUGGGUAGCACGAAUAACAAAAGAUCUGGAGAGCUGCAUAGAUUUAAGAAGCAGAGUAUAUUAUUAUACAUAAAUUACAGUCUCUUUGUCUACAGAACACAAAGUGAUGCAACGUCGACCAUGGAAGAAUGAAUAUUUGUGGUAACAUGCUAGAUUAAAGGCAUGAAAUGCACGGAAAUUAGAGAGAAUUUUGAGAGGAAGUUUCAUAAGGCAGGUUCACAGACAUAAAAUGAUUAUUAUCGAUAAUUGCUAUCAGAUAUUUUUCUAUUUGAUUAAUAUCGUGUUUGGAAAGAAUCUCUUCAAAUGUUGAUACUUUCAUCAAUAAUCGUUACUUAUCUAAGGUAUGCUGAUCACAUA
RNAcentral lists this long non-coding RNA (1466 nucleotides) under Androctonus crassicauda. The record is from RNAcentral. Lineage: Eukaryota; Metazoa; Arthropoda; Arachnida; Scorpiones; Buthidae.